RNAcentral lists this ribosomal RNA (429 nucleotides) under uncultured bacterium. RNAcentral's name for it is "bacterial SSU rRNA". It matches the Rfam family "Bacterial small subunit ribosomal RNA", at positions 29 to 451 of the family's 1533-position model. The record is from RNAcentral.
AACGAACGCUGGCGGCGUGCCUAACACAUGCAAGUCGUACGUGAAAGUCUUCGGAUGAGUAAAGUGGCGCACGGGUGAGUAACACGUAGGUGACCUGCCUUAUAGAGGGGAAUAACCAGAAGAAAUUUUGGCUAAUGCCGCAUACGAAGCACGGUUUUAAGACUGUGCUUGAAGAAUGCCUCUGCAUAUGCAUUCGCUAUUAGAUGGGCCUGCGGGACAUUAGCUAGUUGGUGGGGUAAAGGCCUACCAAGGCAACGAUGUCUAUCCGGUCUGAGAGGAUGAUCGGACACACUGGAACUGAGACACGGUCCAGACUCCUACGGGAGGCAGCAGUGGGGAAUAUUGCGCAAUGGGCGAAAGCCUGACGCAGCGACGCCGCGUGGGUGAUGAAGGCCUUCGGUCGGUAAGACCGUCGUCGCCAGGGGAAGG